GCCAACGUAGCUCAGCUGGUAGAGCAGCUCACUCGUAAUGAGCAGGUCGUCGGUUCGAGUCCGACCAUCGGCUCCA
RNAcentral lists this transfer RNA (76 nucleotides) under Bacillota bacterium. Its description in RNAcentral is "Firmicutes bacterium (anaerobic digester metagenome) tRNA-Thr". It matches the Rfam family "tRNA". From Rfam's summary of the family: Transfer RNA (tRNA) molecules are approximately 80 nucleotides in length. Lineage: Bacteria; Bacillati; Bacillota. The record is from RNAcentral.